Molecule: ribosomal RNA, 387 nt
Filed under: uncultured bacterium
Lineage: Bacteria
Description: bacterial SSU rRNA
Rfam family: Bacterial small subunit ribosomal RNA
Source: RNAcentral
GACGAACGCUGGCGGCGUGCUUAACACAUGCAAGUCGAGCGGUAAGGCCCUUUCGGGGGUACACGAGCGGCGAACGGGUGAGUAACACGUGGGUGACCUGCCCUCAGCUCUGGGAUAAGCCUGGGAAACCGGGUCUAAUACUGGAUAUGACUCCAUGACGCAUGUUGUGGGGUGGAAAGCCUUGUGCGGCUGAGGAUGGGCCCGCGGCCUAUCAGCUUGUUGGUGGGGUGANGGCCUACCAAGGCGACGACGGGUAGCCGGCCUGAGAGGGCGACCGGCCACACUGGGACUGAGACACGGCCCAGACUCCUACGGGAGGCAGCAGUGGGGAAUCUUGCGCAAUGGGCGAAAGCCUGAACGCAGCGACGCCGCGUGAGGGAUGGACGG